GAGUUCGGAACAGCGGUGGAGCAUGUGGUUUAAUCCGAUGAUACGCGAAAAAUUUUACCAAUCUUUGAAUAUAAGUUGAUUUAAAAUCUUAAAUGAAAGCUUUUGCUUAAGAUAAAGACUUAUACAGGUGUUGCAUGGCUGUCGUCAGCUCGUGUCGUGAGAUGUUUGGUUAAUUCCUAUUUAACGAGCGAAACCCUCUCUUUUUAUUUAUUUUGAGUUUAAAAUAGUUUUUUUCUGAAAUUUAUUUAAAAGGACGGUCAAAGAAAUUUGAAGGAAGGUGAGGAUCAAGACAAGUCGUUAUGGCCUUUAUAGAUUGGGCUACACACGUGCUACAUAGGUAAUUACAAUAAGAUGCAAUUAAGUGAUUAAGAGCAAAUCUUUAAAAGUUAUCGUAGUUCGGAUUAUAGACUGAAAUUCGUCUAUAUG
RNAcentral lists this ribosomal RNA (426 nucleotides) under uncultured bacterium. Its description in RNAcentral is "bacterial SSU rRNA". It matches the Rfam family "Bacterial small subunit ribosomal RNA", at positions 917 to 1322 of the family's 1533-position model. The record is from RNAcentral.